This 253-nucleotide ribosomal RNA is filed under the name uncultured bacterium. RNAcentral describes it as "partial 16S ribosomal RNA". It matches the Rfam family "Bacterial small subunit ribosomal RNA", at positions 524 to 776 of the family's 1533-position model. The record is from RNAcentral.
UACGAAGGGGGCUAGCGUUGCUCGGAAUUACUGGGCGUAAAGGGCGCGUAGGCGGCUUAUCAAGUCAGGCGUGAAAUUCCCGGGCUCAACCUGGGGGCUGCGCUUGAUACUGAUGAGCUUGAAUGCGGGAGAGGAUAGUGGAAUUCCCAGUGUAGAGGUGAAAUUCGUAGAUAUUGGGAAGAACACCGGUGGCGAAGGCGGCAACCUGGUCCUUUACUGAGCUGAGGCGCGAAAGCGUGGGGGAGCAAACAGG